This 97-nucleotide signal recognition particle RNA is filed under the name Candidatus Erwinia haradaeae. Its description in RNAcentral is "4.5S sRNA component of Signal Recognition Particle (SRP)". It matches the Rfam family "Bacterial small signal recognition particle RNA". From Rfam's summary of the family: The signal recognition particle (SRP) is a universally conserved ribonucleoprotein involved in the co-translational targeting of proteins to membranes. Archaeal SRP consists of a 7S RNA and homologues of the eukaryotic SRP19 and SRP54 proteins. In most bacteria, the SRP consists of a 4.5S RNA and the Ffh protein (a homologue of the eukaryotic SRP54 protein). The record is from RNAcentral. Lineage: Bacteria; Pseudomonadati; Pseudomonadota; Gammaproteobacteria; Enterobacterales; Erwiniaceae.
UUGUUAGUCAUCUGCAAUGUUAGUCUGCCAACUCGGUCAGGUUCGGAAGAAAGCAGCCGUAACAGAUAAUGCAUGUGCUGAAUACAGCUAGCAUGGU